GAACGGGACUAUUUUAGAGUUUACUUUGAGAUGGUUUAGUGGCGGACGGGGGAGUAACACGUGAGCAACCUGCCUUUCAGAGGGGGAUAACAGUUGGAAACGACUGCUAAUACCGCAUAACGUUGUAAAAGGGCAUCCAUUUACAACCAAAAGAGAAAUCUGCUGAAAGAUGGGCUCGCGGCCGAUUAGAUAGUAGGCGGGGUAACGGCCCACCUAGUCAACGAUCGGUAGCCGGACUGAGAGGUUGAACGGCCACAUUGGGACUGAGACACGGCCCAGACUCCUACGGGAGGCAGCAGUGGGGGAUAUUGCACAAUGGGCGAAAGCCUGAUGCAGCGACGCCGCGUGAGGGAAGACGGUCUUCGGAUUGUAAACCUCUGUCUUUGGGGAAGAAAUCAGACGGUACCCAAAGAGGAAGCUCCGGCUAACUACGUGCCAGCAGCCGCGGUAAUACGUAGGGAGCGAGCGUUGUCCGGAAU
This 479-nucleotide ribosomal RNA is filed under the name uncultured bacterium. RNAcentral describes it as "bacterial SSU rRNA". It matches the Rfam family "Bacterial small subunit ribosomal RNA", at positions 64 to 551 of the family's 1533-position model. The record is from RNAcentral.